UACGAAGGGUGCAAGCGUUACUCGGAAUUACUGGGCGUAAAGGGUGCGUAGGUGGUCGUUUAAGUCCCGUUGUGAAAUCCCUGGGCUCAACCUGGGAAUGGCAGUGGAUACUGGACGGCUAGAAUGCGGUAGAGGGUAGUGGAAUUCCCCGGUGUAGCAGUGAAAUGCGUAGAGAUCGGGAGGAACACCAGUGGCGAAGGCGGCUACCUGGACCAGCAUUGACACUCAAGCACGAAAGCGUGGGGAGCAAACAGG
RNAcentral lists this ribosomal RNA (255 nucleotides) under uncultured bacterium. Its description in RNAcentral is "partial 16S ribosomal RNA". It matches the Rfam family "Bacterial small subunit ribosomal RNA", at positions 524 to 776 of the family's 1533-position model. The record is from RNAcentral.